UUGCUUCAGCAGCACAUAGACUAAAAUUGUAACAAUGCAAUUGGGAAGAUCAGCAUGGUCCCUGAACAAGGAUGACAUGCAAAUUCUUGACACACUCCUUAUUUUU
Molecule: small nuclear RNA, 106 nt
Organism: Apodemus sylvaticus (European woodmouse)
Lineage: Eukaryota; Metazoa; Chordata; Mammalia; Rodentia; Muridae
Source: RefSeq, a predicted model, not a curated record